This 410-nucleotide ribosomal RNA is filed under the name bacterium enrichment culture clone ALO1_GLFRUDD03G0AYK. Its description in RNAcentral is "bacterial SSU rRNA". It matches the Rfam family "Bacterial small subunit ribosomal RNA", at positions 9 to 419 of the family's 1533-position model. The record is from RNAcentral.
GAGUUUGAUCUUGGCUCAGAUUGAACGCUGGCGGCAUGCCUUACGCAUGCAAGUCGAACGGCAGCACGGGAGCUUGCUCCUGGUGGCGAGUGGCGAACGGGUGAGUAAUGCAUCGGAACGUAUCCUGGAGUGGGGGAUAACGUAGCGAAAGUUACGCUAAUACCGCAUAUUCUGUGAGCAGGAAAGCGGGGGACCUUCGGGCCUCGCGCUCUUGGAGCGGCCGAUGUCGGAUUAGCUAGUUGGUGAGGUAAAGGCUCACCAAGGCGACGAUCCGUAGCAGGUCUGAGAGGAUGAUCUGCCACACUGGAACUGAGACACGGUCCAGACUCCUACGGGAGGCAGCAGUGGGGAAUUUUGGACAAUGGGGGCAACCCUGAUCCAGCCAUGCCGCGUGAGUGAAGAAGGCCUGG